CCUGGGCUGUGAGGGCUCUCAGCCACAUGGAUGGAAAAGAAUAGAAGAAGCAUCUGACUCCUUCAUGCAUGC
Molecule: transfer RNA, 72 nt
Filed under: Julbernardia paniculata
Lineage: Eukaryota; Viridiplantae; Streptophyta; Magnoliopsida; Fabales; Fabaceae
Description: tRNA-Glu
Source: RNAcentral